GACGAACGCUGGCGGCGUGCCUAAUACAUGCAAGUAGAACGCUGAAGAGAGGAGCUUACUCUUCUUGGAUGAGUUGCGAACGGGUGAGUAACGCGUAGGUAACCUGCCUUGUAGCGGGGGAUAACUAUUGGAAACGAUAGCUAAUACCGCAUAACAAUGGAUGAAACAUGUCAUUUAUUUGAAAGGGGCAAUUGCUCCACUACAAGAUGGACCUGCGUUGUAUUAGCUAGUAGGUGAGGUAAUGGCUCACCUAGGCGACGAUACAUAGCCGACCUGAGAGGGUGAUCGGCCACCCUGGGACUGAGACACGGCCCAGACUCCUACGGGAGGCAGCAGUAGGGAAUCUUCGGCAAUGGGGGCAACCCUGACCGAGCAACGCCGCGUGAGUGAAGAAGGUUUUCGGAUCGUAAAGCUCUGUUGUAAGUCAAGAACGGGUGUGAGAGUGGAAAGUUCACACUGUGACGGUAGCUUACCAGAAAGGGACGGCUAACUACGUG
This 497-nucleotide ribosomal RNA is filed under the name uncultured bacterium. Its description in RNAcentral is "partial 16S ribosomal RNA". It matches the Rfam family "Bacterial small subunit ribosomal RNA", at positions 28 to 507 of the family's 1533-position model. The record is from RNAcentral.